RNAcentral lists this ribosomal RNA (585 nucleotides) under Saccharomyces cerevisiae (brewer's yeast). RNAcentral's name for it is "eukaryotic LSU rRNA". It matches the Rfam family "Eukaryotic large subunit ribosomal RNA", at positions 70 to 669 of the family's 3401-position model. The record is from RNAcentral. Lineage: Eukaryota; Fungi; Ascomycota; Saccharomycetes; Saccharomycetales; Saccharomycetaceae.
CGGGAUUGCCUUAGUAACGGCGAGUGAAGCGGCAAAAGCUCAAAUUUGAAAUCUGGUACCUUCGGUGCCCGAGUUGUAAUUUGGAGAGGGCAACUUUGGGGCCGUUCCUUGUCUAUGUUCCUUGGAACAGGACGUCAUAGAGGGUGAGAAUCCCGUGUGGCGAGGAGUGCGGUUCUUUGUAAAGUGCCUUCGAAGAGUCGAGUUGUUUGGGAAUGCAGCUCUAAGUGGGUGGUAAAUUCCAUCUAAAGCUAAAUAUUGGCGAGAGACCGAUAGCGAACAAGUACAGUGAUGGAAAGAUGAAAAGAACUUUGAAAAGAGAGUGAAAAAGUACGUGAAAUUGUUGAAAGGGAAGGGCAUUUGAUCAGACAUGGUGUUUUGUGCCCUCUGCUCCUUGUGGGUAGGGGAAUCUCGCAUUUCACUGGGCCAGCAUCAGUUUUGGUGGCAGGAUAAAUCCAUAGGAAUGUAGCUUGCCUCGGUAAGUAUUAUAGCCUGUGGGAAUACUGCCAGCUGGGACUGAGGACUGCGACGUAAGUCAAGGAUGCUGGCAUAAUGGUUAUAUGCCGCCCGUCUUGAAACACGGACCUC